GAUGGAAAAGUUAACCGGUCGCCCACCUCCCCCGGAUGUAAAAAAAAACAGCCCACUGCCCCGGUCCGUUCCUCUCUUCCUCUCCUCCCAAUCUCCCAUCCCCUCAUCCGGAGGCAGCGGCAGCGACGGCACCGGAGGGACGACCCGGCGGCGAGGACUACCUCUCUGGCACGCGGAGUACUUCCUUUCCUCUCUCAUGCGGUAGGGACUCAGAGGCGCCGUGGGUGGUGUAAGGUCCGGGCGAGCUCAGCAGCGACAACGGCCUUCUCCGGCGUCCCUCUCCACCGCCGGCGGUAUUAUCGCUAGCAAACGAGGAAUUGGAAUUCUGCCAAGCAAUCUAGGAGUAGAAGAAUAUGUAUGCAAGGGACUUGGAGACGAGGCAAUGGUGCGCUGGUGAGAACACUAUUGUUCUGAUGCGUUAGGAUUAGGAUUGGGGUUCGGCUGCUCUUCAGUUUGUUAUAUCAAGGUUUUGAAGCUUUGGGAGCCUGCGGCCGGUUCGGUGGAUGACAUCAGCAAGCGCCGGCCCGCCUCGGCACAGCUGCGGGUGGUUAUAUGGUGGGCGGAGCACACGAGUGAGCUUCGAUGUCAGGGUACGGUGGCAAGCUAAAUCCUGAGUCCAGCUAGGCUUUUUUUCCGUUCAGAUUUUGUUACUGUUUUCCAUUCGGGAUUUCAUGGUGAGCAAACCUAGAAUUUGCAGUUGUUUGUUUCAGAAAUUCAUGUCCUGACAUCAAAUUUCGUUUGUAAGGUAUACGUUCCACAUGCUUGUGAGGUACACAUUUCGUAGGUCCAGAUGUAAGUGUUUGCUUGAUUUGUCGCUCAAGUUUCAUGUUCAAAUGAUGCUCCUUGACUUCAAUACAAUGUUGGUAUGUAGGAUGACUAUCUAUGCAACUUAUCAUGCACAAAUUAAAAAAUGCUUGGCUCCUCUUCUGCAUGUCUCCAAGGAAUAAUUUCUGAUGUAUAAUGAGAUAAUGAUUAUUUCUUUUUAUUUCUUAUCAUGCGGCUAGUUGCUACAAAAAAUUAACACAUACAUCGCCACUUAUCAUUAAAACAAAAUCAUAUCUGCCAAGUUUCUACAUUCCGUCGAAGCUUGCAGAUUUACCAUCUAUUUUGGUACAUUAUUGAAACAAAUCGUAACCAUGGAUUCUAUAUGGAAGAUCGAAAUAUCAUUUUUACAUUAGGUUCAUGUACUGUAAGGAAUCGACUUUGUUCAUCUUCAACCCAUUUUCCUAUCUUGCAAAGCUGUCCAUUAAAGUAUGGUCAAUUUAUACUCUAUGACUUAAUACAUUUGUAACACUGUCAUAGUGCCAUUGACAUGCUCUUUUUUCACUCCAUUUCAUAUUGAUUCAUCUACAUGGUUAUAUGCAUGCUUUUGCAUACAUAACUUAUCCAGUCCGCUAUUGAUCAUUUCAAUUUUUCAUCCCGGCAGUACGCUGAUAGCCUAACUAGUCUGCUAUUGAUCAUUUCCAUUUUCAUCCCGGCAGUAUGCCGAUAUCUAUAAGCAAGCCAAUAGUUCCAAAACGUUGCUUCACAAUUACUCGGCAGUAUUUGUCUAUUUGAGCAGCACAUAGCUGGCUUCGGUGGGUAGCAUGGCAUGUCCAUUCUCAAUUGAAGUUGGUCUGAAAAUAUCGAACUCUGCCAUGAAGUAGAAAAGAUAGCCACCGUCCAUAGCUCUCAGGUGAAUGUGGCAAGGCCAAAAAACAAGUUUUCCAUUGCCGGAUAUCCAACAGAUCAACUGGUGUUAUGGAUGCUUCUUAUAGAUAUUUUGUUGCCAUUUCAAACAUCAAACACCAACUACUCACAAUGGAGACAGGAAACGUGUAGCUUCUGAUGUCAACUAAGUGAGCCUGCCAAUUGUGGCAAUGGAAGGAGGUGGCAUGUCGUCUCAUUCAUGAGGCUAUUAGUUUCAUAACAAACAUUUUCCAAUUGCAUGUCUUUUGUAAAGUGUUCAAACUGUUUUUUGAGCAAAGAAAUGAAAUUUCAAAGACUUUACCUAAUUUUACUUUUUUUCCGAUUGUAAU
Triticum aestivum (bread wheat) is the source of this 2018-nucleotide long non-coding RNA. RefSeq lists it as uncharacterized. The record is from RefSeq and is a predicted model, not a curated record. The transcript has 5 exons. Lineage: Eukaryota; Viridiplantae; Streptophyta; Magnoliopsida; Poales; Poaceae.